UAUGAAAGAAAUUACUACAGAAAUAGGUUAUUUCAAGGCAGGAAGCAAGCAAAUAAAACUUCAGUUGAGGACACUAACAGUAACAGAGUAACAAAAGAAACCCAGAAUUUCAAUGAAGAGAGCAUGGCUGCUGAAGACUGGGGAUCAAUGUCAGAAGUAGCCAGCUGUAGCUAUGAGGCAAGAAAGGCUGGAGUAAAAAAUGGAAUGUUUCUUGGUGAAGCCUUAAAGCUAUGUCCAUCACUACAAACAAUUCCUUAUGAUUUUGAAGGCUACACUGCCGUAUCCCAUACUUUAUAUGACACGGUUGCAAGCUACACGCUUGACAUUGAAGCUGUGAGCUGUGAUGAACUGUUUGUUGAUUGUACGGACGUUCUGCAAGAAACUGGAGCCAGUCCUAUGGAAUUUGGUACAUUUUUAAGAAAAGAAAUUAAGGAAAAGACUGGGUGUGUAGCAUCUGCUGGAUUUGCAUCAAAUAUUCUCUUAGCCCGUCUAGCCACUAAACAAGCCAAACCCAAUGGACAGUUCAAUCUAGAACCUGACAAAGUAAAUACCUUCAUGAAAAAUCAGAUGGUAAAAGAUCUCCCAGGUGUUGGUCCUGCCACAAAAUCCAGGUUAGAAACACUUGGCAUAACCACAUGUGGUCAACUUCAAUCUCAGUCCCUUCAAUUAUUGCAAAAAGAAUUUGGUCAAAAAACUGGUCAGUCUCUAUUUGACCACUGUAGGGGCUUGGAUCACCGUGUUGUAAAGAGUGAAAAAGAACGUAAAUCGGUAUCAGCAGAAGUAAAUUAUGGUAUUCGCUUUGAAAAAUUUUCUGAAGCAGUAGAGUUUAUCAAAGAAUUGUCGUUGGAAGUUCAUCAGAGACUACAGAAAGUUGGUAUGAAAGGCAGGUCGAUUACACUAAAGCUCAAGAUUCGAAAGAAAGAUGCACCAGUGGAAACUGCAAAAUUCAUGGGUCAUGGUGUAUGUGAUAAUGUAGCAAAAUCACUUCUGCUUCACACAGCAACCGACAACCCUGAGAUCAUUAGUCGAGAAUGUGCAUCCCUCCUUCAGAUGAUGAAACACAACCCUCAGGACUUGAGAGGUGUUGGUAUACAAGUUGGACGUCUGGAACCAUCCUCUGCUGAUUUAGCUGCUAAAAGUCGUUCCCUUCUUGAUUUUGUUAGCCAUCAGACUAAAGUAUUGCCAAACAAUCAGUCGGUAACUGUUAACACUGAUGACUUGGUAUCUGAAGGGAAUCAGAAAAUACCACUUCCUACUCAAGAAGAUCUAAUUCUGCCUUCCCCAUCGCAGCUUGAUCUGACAGUGUUGGCUGCAUUACCUAAAGACUUACAAGAACAGAUCCAGAGAGCUUACCAUGAUAAACAUUUAUCCAACGUGGGUAGUGAGAUCCUUGCUCAAGCUUCAUGUUCAAAAGUGGAGGUUCUACAGCCAGUCGAAGAAAAAAUUUCUUCUGAGACAGGAGAAAACAGGAAUACAGUGAACAAGACGAAUUGCUUGAAUUCUGGUGAAAUUACCAGUACAGAAAUAACAUCUGAUGCAAAACCAGAACCCAAUCAAAGUGUCCAAUCUCGUGAGAAAAAAUUUUUCUCUAAAAUAGUAGGAAACGAAGAGUGUGUAGAAGAUAAAACUUUUCCUGAACUUAAAGGAGAGAAACUACUUCUAGAAAAGUCAAGUUCUUCUUCAACAGGAAGAAGUGAACGAUGUUUGGAGAACACAAGUUACUUUGUUCCAGAAGAUGGUUUUACUUCUCGAGAAGUAAAAGAGUUGGAGAAGCAAAUGUCAUUAUUUGGAUCAGGAGGAAGUGCCCAGUUAACGAAACAGUUGAGUAAUACUGAAGUAGAUGGUACUGUGCUGAAUAGGGAGAAGGAGCCAGAUACUGUUCCUGAGGUCUUUGACAGAAGUGUGUUUGAAGCAUUACCAGCCGAGCUGCGUUCCGAAGUUAUGGAAGCCUACAUGAACGAAAAAUCAAAUAGUGGUUUGUGCAAUCCUAACAGCAUGGAUGAUGAUUUUAAGGAAGAUGCAAAAACCUACAGAUCUUUAUUCAGACCUGAUCGAGUAAAUUCUCCCAAAAAGAAACAAGUGAAAAUAAGAAGACCACCGAAGGUUAACCAGUACAAACAAACCACUAGGAUCACUGAUGUUCAUGGUUUACAGAAGAAGGUACAUCCAGAUGAGAGAAUACAGGAAGUAAUUAAUGAAAAUGUCUCUAACCUUCAGUGGACUCCUGCAAGCAUCUGUGGGCAAACACAAAUAGAAGAUGUGAAAUCUUUAAUGAAAGAAUGGAUUGAGUCUACUCCAGGUUGAUGAUUUCAAGCCAGAAGUUAAAGAUAUGGAAGUAUUUGGUGAUUACAUACUAGAUGUAGUGGAGGAAAGAGAUUUGGAAAAAUUAGAUCUGUUGAUCAAGUACUUUCACAGGUUAGUGAAAAGAAUUC
RNAcentral lists this unclassified non-coding RNA (2432 nucleotides) under Limulus polyphemus (Atlantic horseshoe crab). RNAcentral describes it as "dNA repair protein REV1-like, transcript variant X3". Lineage: Eukaryota; Metazoa; Arthropoda; Merostomata; Xiphosura; Limulidae. The record is from RNAcentral.